Molecule: unclassified non-coding RNA, 401 nt
Filed under: soil metagenome
Description: partial contains 5.8S ribosomal RNA, internal transcribed spacer 2, and large subunit ribosomal RNA
Rfam family: 5.8S ribosomal RNA (bases 1-121)
Source: RNAcentral
GAUGAAGAACGUAGCGAAAUGCGAUAAGUAAUGUGAAUUGCAGAAUUCAGUGAAUCAUCGAAUCUUUGAACGCACCUUGCGCCCUUUGGCUAUUCCGAAGGGCAUGCCUGUUUGAGUAUCAUGAACACCUCAACUCUCAUGGUUUGCCAUGAUGAGCUUGGACUCUGGGGGUCUUGCUGGCCUAUGGUCAGCUCCUCUCAAAUAAAUCAGCUUGCCAGUGUUUGGUGGCAUCACAGGUGUGAUAACUAUCUACGCUUGUGGUUUUCCAUCAGGUAACCUUCAGUGAUGGAGGUUCGCUGGAGCUCAUAAAUGUCCCUCCUCAGCGAGGACAGCUUUUUGAACGUUUGAUCUCAAAUCAGGUAGGACUACCCGCUGAACUUAAGCAUAUCAAUAGCGGAGGA